Molecule: ribosomal RNA, 301 nt
Filed under: uncultured bacterium
Lineage: Bacteria
Description: partial 16S ribosomal RNA
Rfam family: Bacterial small subunit ribosomal RNA
Source: RNAcentral
CAGUAGCCGCGGGAAAACGUAGGGUGCGAGCGUUAAUCGGAAUUACUGGGCGUAAAGCGUGCGCAGGCGGUUAUAUAAGACAGAUGUGAAAUCCCCGGGCUCAACCUGGGACCUGCAUUUGUGACUGUAUAGCUAGAGUACGGUAGAGGGGGAUGGAAUUCCGCGUGUAGCAGUGAAAUGCGUAGAUAUGCGGAGGAACACCGAUGGCGAAGGCAAUCCCCUGGACCUGUACUGACGCUCAUGCACGAAAGCGUGGGGAGCAAACAGGAUUAGAUACCCGAGUAGUCCCUGUCUCUUAUAC